This 220-nucleotide ribosomal RNA is filed under the name uncultured bacterium. RNAcentral describes it as "partial 16S ribosomal RNA". It matches the Rfam family "Bacterial small subunit ribosomal RNA", at positions 96 to 334 of the family's 1533-position model. The record is from RNAcentral.
UGGCGGACGGGUGAGUAACGCGUGAGAAUCUGCCUUCUGGUCGGGGACAACCAUUGGAAACGAUGGCUAAUACCGGAUGAGCCUACGGGUAAAAGAUUUAUUGCCAGAAGAGGAGCUCGCGUCUGAUUAGCUAGUUGGUGGGGUAAAAGCUCACCAAGGCAUCGAUCAGUAGCUGGUCUGAGCGGAUGACCAGCCACACUGGGACUGAGACACGGCCCAG